AGAGUUUGAUCCUGGCUCAGGAUGAACGCUGGCGGCGUGCCUAAUACAUGCAAGUCGAGCGAACGGACGAGAAGCUUGCUUCUCUGAUGUUAGCGGCGGACGGGUGAGUAACACGUGGAUAACCUACCUAUAAGACUGGGAUAACUUCGGGAAACCGUAGCUAAUACCGGAUAAUAUUUUGAACCGCAUGGUUCAAAAGUGAAAGACGGUCUUGCUGUCACUUAUAGAUGGAUCCGCGCUGCAUUAGCUAGUUGGUAAGGUAACGGCUUACCAAGGCAACAAUGCAUAGCCGACCUGAGAGGGUGAUCGGCCACACUGGAACUGAGACACGGUCCAGACUCCUACGGGAGGCAGCAGUAGGGAAUCUUCCGCAAUGGGCGAAAGCCUGACGGAGCAACGCCGCGUGAGUGAUGAAGGUCUUCGGAUCGUAAAACUCUGUUAUUAGGGAAGAACAUAUGUGUAAGUAACUGUGCACAUCUUGACGGUACCUAAUCAGAAAGCCACGGCUAACUACGUGCCAGCAGCCGCGGUAAUACGUAGGUGGCAAGCGUUAUCCGGAAUUAUUGGGCGUAAAGCGCGCGUAGGCGGUUUUUUAAGUCUGAUGUGAAAGCCCACGGCUCAACCGUGGAGGGUCAUUGGAAACUGGAAAACUUGAGUGCAGAAGAGGAAAGUGGAAUUCCAUGUGUAGCGGUGAAAUGCGCAGAGAUAUGGAGGAACACCAGUGGCGAAGGCGACUUUCUGGUCUGUAACUGACGCUGAUGUGCGAAAGCGUGGGGAUCAAACAGGAUUAGAUACCCUGGUAGUCCACGCCGUAAACGAUGAGUGCUAAGUGUUAGGGGGUUUCCGCCCCUUAGUGCUGCAGCUAACGCAUUAAGCACUCCGCCUGGGGAGUACGACCGCAAGGUUGAAACUCAAAGGAAUUGACGGGGACCCGCACAAGCGGUGGAGCAUGUGGUUUAAUUCGAAGCAACGCGAAGAACCUUACCAAAUCUUGACAUCCUUUGACAACUCUAGAGAUAGAGCCUUCCCCUUCGGGGGACAAAGUGACAGGUGGUGCAUGGUUGUCGUCAGCUCGUGUCGUGAGAUGUUGGGUUAAGUCCCGCAACGAGCGCAACCCUUAAGCUUAGUUGCCAUCAUUAAGUUGGGCACUCUAAGUUGACUGCCGGUGACAAACCGGAGGAAGGUGGGGAUGACGUCAAAUCAUCAUGCCCCUUAUGAUUUGGGCUACACACGUGCUACAAUGGACAAUACAAAGGGCAGCGAAACCGCGAGGUCAAGCAAAUCCCAUAAAGUUGUUCUCAGUUCGGAUUGUAGUCUGCAACUCGACUACAUGAAGCUGGAAUCGCUAGUAAUCGUAGAUCAGCAUGCUACGGUGAAUACGUUCCCGGGUCUUGUACACACCGCCCGUCACACCACGAGAGUUUGUAACACCCGAAGCCGGUGGAGUAACCUUUUAGGAGCUAGCCGUCGAAGGUGGGACAAAUGAUUGGGGUGAAGUCGUAACAAGGUAGCCGUAUCGGAAGGUGCGGCUGGAUCACCU
Molecule: ribosomal RNA, 1540 nt
Filed under: Staphylococcus aureus AMMC6075
Lineage: Bacteria; Bacillati; Bacillota; Bacilli; Caryophanales; Staphylococcaceae
Description: 16S ribosomal RNA
Rfam family: Bacterial small subunit ribosomal RNA
Source: RNAcentral